RNAcentral lists this long non-coding RNA (1524 nucleotides) under Erythranthe guttata (spotted monkey flower). RNAcentral describes it as "long non-coding RNA (EGUT_LNC002426)". The record is from RNAcentral. Lineage: Eukaryota; Viridiplantae; Streptophyta; Magnoliopsida; Lamiales; Phrymaceae.
UUUAUUUUUAUAAACUGCAAUUUCAUUUGAAUGAAUUAACUUAAAAUUAUUUGCGUAAAAUGCAGAAUGGGUAAUGUUGAUAGUACCAGGUGAAGCAUCUCUAUGCGAGACCCCGAGCAGGUACUUCAACGGCAUUUGCUUCAGCCGCAGAAACUGCGGUGCGAUUUGUGAGAAAGAAGGCUUCUCUUCCGGAAGAUGCAAAGCUUUCAAGUGCGUAUGCGGCAAAGAUUGCAAUGCUGCUGGAGGAGGUGGUGGCGGUGGUGGCGGAGAUCCAGGCCUAGGCCCACCCGUAGAAGGCCCACCAGAUCAAGGCCCACCGGAAGAAGGCCCACCCGGAGAGGGCCCGCCCGAAGAAGGCCCACCAGCUGGCGAUAUACCCCCUGUUCGUAAAAUUUAAGACCAUGUUCUUGACCACAUUGGUAGAUGAGGACAUUAUUCCAGUCCCUUCUCGACUUGCACCUAAAGUAUUUCAGUGAACAAUUUUAGACUUGCAAUAAAAUCUCGAUUAAGUUUAUGAAGUUUGAUGCAGGUUCCAAAUUAUGCAAUCAACUAGGUUAUUAGAUCUUACAUGGAUUGUAUUUUUGAUUCCCUCUAAACGUGGUUUAAUAGAGAAUAAAUUCAAUACAUAGUCUUUAGAUUUUGCCUAAACAUGACUUAAUGACUAAGAAAUUCAACACAAGCCAGAAAAAAACGACUAAACGACACAUGGCCUGAACGCAAAAUAAAUGAAUACUACUACAUACAUAUAUAUUCUCAAGACAUGCAUAAAGUCCAGAAUAUGCAUACUCCAAACUGUUUUUUCUUAGAGGAAAAAUCGAAAGGAAGGAAUAAAGUCAAUCGGAUGACUCACAUAUUUCAAGUUUCUUGGAAAUGUAACAUAAAAGCAUUAAUAAUUACAAAAUUCCACCUUAAGUUUCAAUUGUCUUCAUUUCAGCUAUGUAUAAAAUCACCUCAAGAAAAAAGAAAGUUUCAUUUAUGUUUGGUUGAGACUAAAUGACUUCAUAUAGGUCACAACUGAAGCGUUAUUCCACUUGUCUGAAUACUCCCAAGGACCAGAAAGUCAUUAGCAUCAAGAAUUUUCGAUUUCAGCAAUAUCAGCAAUUAUAUAUAGUUAAACAAAAAGAAGAAAAACAUACUUGGAAGAACAGAUUUCGAUUGCAAGCAUGGCCAUAAUGUUUUCUGCACUGGUUCUGUUGUUGCAUCUUCUAAUCUCUCGUAAGCCCGCAAAUUCUUGCCAUAUUUCUUAUUCAUUAAUUUAGCAAUAAGGUCUGAUAAAAAGGGACAUCGGUUGAAAUCUGAAUAGAUGCAUAUAUGUGAAAUUCCACUACAAUGUCGUUCUACACAUUGCAUUGUAUUACUAUUGUUCUCUCGUAUUCUCGAACAUAGUACGUUAAGAGGUAGAACUGACUUGUAUUUUUCGAUGCGCUAAUUCAAAUUUGCAGAUAAUGAAAAGAUGCACGUCGAAGCAAGAUUUUGCGAGGCACCAAGCAAGUUAUUCCACGGCGCUUGCUUCAGUGACAAUAA